GACGAACGCUGGCGGCGUGCUUAACACAUGCAAGUCGAACGGAAAGGCCCUGCGUUUGUGGUGUUCUCGAUUGGCGAACAGGUGAGUAACACGUGAGUAACCUCCCCUUAACUUUGGGAUAACUUCAGGGAACUGGGGCGAAUACCGGAUAUGAGCUCCUGCUGCGUGUUGGUGGUAGGAAAGUUUCGGCGGUUGUGGCUGGACUCGAGGCUUAUCAGCUGCUUGGUCGGGUAGUGGCGUACCAAGGGUUUGACGGGUAGCCGGCAUGAGAGGGUGACCGGCCACAUUGGGACUGAGAUACGGACCAGACUCCUACGGGCGGCAGCAGUGGGGAAUAUUGCAGAAUGGGCGGAAGUGUGAUGUAGCAACGCCGGGUGCGGGAUGACGGCUUUCGGGUUGUAAACAGAUUUCGCCUGUGACGAAGAGUGCGUGACGGUAACGGGUAAAGAAGCAACGGCUAACUACGUG
Molecule: ribosomal RNA, 468 nt
Filed under: uncultured bacterium
Lineage: Bacteria
Description: partial 16S ribosomal RNA
Rfam family: Bacterial small subunit ribosomal RNA
Source: RNAcentral